CCUUGACGUUAGCGGCGGACGGGUGAGUAACACGUGGGUAACCUACCUAUAAGACUGGGAUAACUUCGGGAAACCGGAGCUAAUACCGGAUAAUAUUUCGAACCGCAUGGUUCGAUAGUGAAAGANGGUUUUGCUAUCACUUAUAGAUGGACCCGCGCCGUAUUAGCUAGUUGGUAAGGUAACGGCUUACCAAGGCGACGAUACGUAGCCGACCUGAGAGGGUGAUCGGCCACACUGGAACUGAGACACGGUCCAGACUCCUACGGGAGGCAGCAGAU
RNAcentral lists this ribosomal RNA (278 nucleotides) under uncultured Staphylococcus sp. RNAcentral describes it as "partial 16S ribosomal RNA". It matches the Rfam family "Bacterial small subunit ribosomal RNA", at positions 84 to 354 of the family's 1533-position model. The record is from RNAcentral. Lineage: Bacteria; Bacillati; Bacillota; Bacilli; Caryophanales; Staphylococcaceae.